This is a long non-coding RNA of Hibiscus syriacus, 630 nucleotides long. RefSeq lists it as uncharacterized. The record is from RefSeq and is a predicted model, not a curated record. The transcript has 2 exons. NCBI's taxonomy places the organism in Eukaryota, Viridiplantae, Streptophyta, Magnoliopsida, Malvales, Malvaceae.
UGUUUCGUUUUAAUAUAAGAGAGGAAAGAGAGAGUUUACAAACUCUCUCAACUCCUCUAUCAGGCAAGAGAAGAACGCCGCUCACCGGCGACAAAGAAUAACCACCCACUGCAGAUAGAGGGAGUAAAAAGCUCCCGAAACACUCCCUAAGUCUCCCUUAGUUCGAAUCUUAAACCCUCCUAACCUAAAAUAUAGCACAGACCCUUAGAUCUGAUGAUUUAUCUUUCGAAAAAAAUGAACAUCGACGACUCUUGGGCUCCCCCAACUUCUAACCGAGUGUUUGACAAAAUUGCUUAUGAAAACGGCGGUGAUAUAGAUCAAUGGCAACGCGCGAGCUGGAGGAGCGGUGAGGUCCACGCGCUGAUAUGGUAGUUAAAGAGUUGCGAUAGUUGCUUGAUUAGGGUUUAAAAACCCUAAUUUGUUUCGGGUCAAAUCAUACUGCAGUAGGGUCGGACCUUGGUUAUAACUAGGUCUGGGUUUGUCUGUUGGGCUUCGGGUUAGAUCCUGGGUUUACUGCAGUAGGUCUCCUGUUGGGUCACUUGUAAUUGGGUCUGGAACUUGUGUUUGGGCUUCAAGUGGCCUACAAAAAAAUGUAAAUAUGUAAAUAAUAAUAAUAUAUUUUAUUAGGAA